UCUUGGGCUGAUCCACCACCUUUUACAUGAUCGUCCUUGCCUCAUGAGGCAUGGAGCUCCAGACAAAGGGCAAUUGACGGUUGAAAUGGAAGUAACAACUGGACAACGGGACAAGAGAAUUCUCAAUCUUCAAAAAAGCAAACCAAAAAAAAACCUUUGAAGUCCCAGCUGAAUCCCAGACUGCAUGCCCUUCUAAACGGCCCCAAACCAAGGAGAGUGCAUGACCUGCUGAGAAGCCCCAGGCACAAGCAUCUUCAUUGGGUCCUGUCCAAUCCAAGCCAGAGCCCCUAGGUCCUGAGCUGCCUGACCCUGAAUCAUGACCCUAUGGAUCCCGAGCUACUUGAGCUUCCCGAAUUUGUGGACCUAGAUCCCAAGCAGUCCUGUCACCCUUCAUUUUGACCCUUGAGAGUCUCUUCCUCCACCUUCCACCUCCUCUUGCACCAGAUGGCUUCUUUCUCCACCAAUGCUGGCCAAUGGUUGAGGAGUUGGGGUUUACUGGCUUUCCGGUGUGCCCUCUGAACUGUUUUGCCUACUCUACUGGCUUCUUGCUAAGAGUUUAGAAAAGGUUGUUCAAAAUGGAGCUGUGAGGAUUCUAACCAGGGGCAAUUCUAGGAUUAGAGCUUUGGGGGUGCUGAGCACCCAGAGAGCUGCCCAUCCAGGCAAGAUAAACUUUACACAUCAGAAUGAGACUUCUUCCCC
This is a long non-coding RNA of Oreochromis niloticus (Nile tilapia), 699 nucleotides long. RefSeq lists it as uncharacterized. NCBI's taxonomy places the organism in Eukaryota, Metazoa, Chordata, Actinopteri, Cichliformes, Cichlidae. The record is from RefSeq and is a predicted model, not a curated record. The transcript has 3 exons.